RNAcentral lists this long non-coding RNA (1066 nucleotides) under Mytilus galloprovincialis (Mediterranean mussel). Lineage: Eukaryota; Metazoa; Mollusca; Bivalvia; Mytilida; Mytilidae. The record is from RNAcentral.
GGAAAAUACAAACAGUUCACAGAAGAGGCCUUGAAAGAUCUAAUACUGUAUUAUGAAUAUUUUCAUGCAGAUAGUGGGCGUGGAUGUGGGGCAAGGUAAAAUAAUACAAGUCUAUCAUUUUCUAGGUCAAUAACAAAGAUGAAUUGAAAAAAGACUCCCAAACAAUAUAUUGGUGACAAAUCUUGCAAUAUACACACGUUUUAAGUCAAAAGAUAGUAUGUUGUGUGCAGUUUUACUGUUUUCCAAUUCAAAAGUCAUUCAAAUGCAGAAACUUAAUGUACAUUUGCCAUUCACACUGAACACUAACACUAAUUGACUAUUUCAAUUGAUAAAAUCUUCUUAUCUGACACUUAUGGACGAAUUUUAACCAAACUUUAGCUGAUUGAUUUUUCAUGCUUGGCUGCCAUGGCUAAAAAAAGAAAAUGAGUGCUUGUCAAUAUCUGGAAACCCAUAAUUGGUAGAUGUAAUCUAAUGUUGCAGAACAAUUUGCUGAAAAAGAACAUCUAUUUAUCUACCUCAUUUAUCUUGAAAACUGUAAAUACUGUUAAGCAGAAUUUAUUGACAAGGAAAGGUUUUUCACUUUAAAUGUCAAAUUAAACCUUUUUUUGAAAUUUUUGAUAAAUUCUUGAAAAAUAGAAAGGAUUGAGAAAAAUUGCAAAGGUUAUUUACUAUUUAUUUAAGUUCUACAAAAACAAGCAUAACUAAAUGCAAUAGAUAUUUCUCCAGGUUAACAACUCAGAUUCAUAGAAGCCUCUUGUUUGUUUUCCCAGUUGAGUUGUCUAAGACUGAGAAUUUCAUCAGAAGAAAUAUUACCUGCUUUAUACAAUGAAUAUUUCUAUUUCAGUCACCAGACAGGAUGGACAGCAUUGAUUACAGAAAUAUUAUAUAAACUUUACAGUUGAAUAGAAGACUGUUACUUCCACUUAUGGACAACUGAUUAUAUAUCCUGCUUGUACCAUACUGGCGUGCAUGAUGAGCCUGUUUUGUAAUUUGCUGUAUUACAAAGGAACAGUUUACAGAAAGACAAGUCAUCCUACUGCAUUCAAUAUUGUGGAACCAACCAGGU